RNAcentral lists this ribosomal RNA (468 nucleotides) under uncultured bacterium. Its description in RNAcentral is "partial 16S ribosomal RNA". It matches the Rfam family "Bacterial small subunit ribosomal RNA", at positions 28 to 507 of the family's 1533-position model. The record is from RNAcentral.
GACGAACGCUGGCGGCGUGCUUAACACAUGCAAGUCGAACGGAAAGGCCCUGCUUUUGUGGGGUGCUCGAGUGGCGAACGGGUGAGUAACACGUGAGUAACCUGCCCUUGACUUUGGGAUAACUUCAGGAAACUGGGGCUAAUACCGGAUAGGAGCUCCUGCUGCAUGGGGGGGGUGGUAAAGUUUCGGCGGUUGGGGAUGGACUGGCGGCUUAUCAGCUCGUUGGUGGGGUGGUGGUUUACCAAGGUUUUGAGGGGUCGCCGCCCUGAGAGGGUGACCGGCGACAUUGGGACUGAGAGACGGCGCAGACUCCUACGGGAGGCAGAAGGGGGGAGUAUGGCACAAUGGGCGGAAGCCUGAGGCAGCAACGCCGCGUGCGGGAUGACGGCCUUCGGGUUGUAAACCGCUUUCGCCUGUGACGAAGCGUGAGUGACGGUAAUGGGUAAAGAAGCACCGGCUAACUACGUG